This 497-nucleotide ribosomal RNA is filed under the name uncultured bacterium. RNAcentral describes it as "partial 16S ribosomal RNA". It matches the Rfam family "Bacterial small subunit ribosomal RNA", at positions 28 to 507 of the family's 1533-position model. The record is from RNAcentral.
GACGAACGCUGGCGGCGUGCCUAAUACAUGCAAGUUGAGCGCUGAAGGUUGGUCCUUGUACCAACUGGAUGAGCAGCGAACGGGUGAGUAACGCGUGGGGAAUCUGCCUUUGAGCGGGGGACAACAUUUGGAAACGAAUGCUAAUACCGCAUAAAAACUUUAAACACAAGUUUUAAGUUUGAAAGAUGCAAUUGCAUCACUCAAAGAUGAUCCCGCGUUGUAUUAGCUAGUUGGUGAGGUAAAGGCUCACCAAGGCGAUGAUACAUAGCCGACCUGAGAGGGUGAUCGGCCACAUUGGGACUGAGACACGGCCCAAACUCCUACGGGAGGCAGCAGUAGGGAAUCUUCGGCAAUGGACGAAAGUCUGACCGAGCAACGCCGCGUGAGGGAAGAAGGGUUUCGGAUCGUAAAACUCUGUUGGUAGAGAAGAACGUUGGUGAGAGUGGAAAGCUCAUCAAGUGACGGUAACUACCCAGAAAGGGACGGCUAACUACGUG